CACUUCCGAGUCUAUGUUUUCAUAUACCCUUUAUAAUUGAAGUCGAUGAAUGUAUUAGGCUUUGGCCAAUAAAACAAUACAACUUUCAACAAUGGAUCUCUUGGUUCUCGCAUCGAUGAAGAACGCAGCGAAUUGCGAUAUGUAAUGUGAAUUGCAGAAUUCAGUGAAUCAUCGAAUCUUUGAACGCACCUUGCGCCCUUUGGUAUUCCGAAGGGCAUGCCUGUUUGAGUGUCAUUAAAUUCUCAACUUCAACACUUUUUUGUAUUGAAGCUUGGAUGUUGGAGGGUCUUGCGGGCAUAUAUUAAUGUCAGCUCCUCUUAAAUGCAUUAGCAGAACCUGUGUUCGGCUCUGGUUUGAUAAUCCUAUCUAUGCCAUUGCUGAAAUGUCAUUGUUCAGCUUCUAAUGGUCCAUUGGACUGUCUCUUCAGAGGCAUAUAUUUUGACUUGACCUCA
RNAcentral lists this ribosomal RNA (452 nucleotides) under uncultured fungus. RNAcentral describes it as "eukaryotic LSU rRNA". The stretch from base 81 to 234 matches the Rfam family "5.8S ribosomal RNA". Lineage: Eukaryota; Fungi. The record is from RNAcentral.